Molecule: non-coding RNA, 71 nt
Organism: Ictidomys tridecemlineatus (thirteen-lined ground squirrel)
Lineage: Eukaryota; Metazoa; Chordata; Mammalia; Rodentia; Sciuridae
Source: Rfam
AUGGUUGUAGCUCCAUAGUAGAGCGCUUGCCUAGCAUAUGUGAGACCCUGAGUUCAAUUCUCAGCACCAUA